Selaginella moellendorffii is the source of this 105-nucleotide long non-coding RNA. RefSeq lists it as uncharacterized. The transcript has 3 exons. Lineage: Eukaryota; Viridiplantae; Streptophyta; Lycopodiopsida; Selaginellales; Selaginellaceae. The record is from RefSeq and is a predicted model, not a curated record.
GGUGGAGCUUUUAAGCUUUGACACUGUGAAGGAUUGGACUGGGUACAAUUUCAAGGAGAUAAUGGAUGAUGCCACUAAAAUGAGAACUACCGGCAAUCGGUUAUU